CCAGUUCAUGUGGAGUCAAUGUUGAAAUACCACUCUGGUCACUCUGGAUAUCUAACUUAGAACCGUAAUCCGGUUCAGGGACAGUGCCUGAUGGGUAGUUUAACUGGGGCGGUUGCCUCCUAAAAUGUAACGGAGGCGCCCAAAGGUUCCCUCAGGCUGGUUGGCAAUCAGCCGUCGAGUGCAAUGACACAAGGGAGCUUGACUGCGAGACAGACAUGUCGAGCAGGUACGAAAGU
This 236-nucleotide ribosomal RNA is filed under the name Ditylum brightwellii. RNAcentral's name for it is "partial Bacterial large subunit ribosomal RNA". It matches the Rfam family "Bacterial large subunit ribosomal RNA", at positions 2171 to 2406 of the family's 2925-position model. Lineage: Eukaryota; Bacillariophyta; Thalassiosirophyceae; Lithodesmiales; Lithodesmiaceae. The record is from RNAcentral.